AUAGUAGGAAUAAAGUAGAUGUUUUUUAAAGUAAUCUGAUUAAUAUUGAAACAAAGUGUUUGCACAUUUCUAGGUUUUAGAAAAAGUCCGAUGAGAUCUUAUUAUUUGUAUGGUUGUGUGGCAAUAGCCUUGGCAGUGGUCUACUCAGUGCCAAAAGCUCCUUGAUUCCGGAUAGCAGGCAUCUGUGACUUCAGAAAUCUUUCGCUGCUGUGAAUUCUUUGGCUAAGUUUGGCGCUCACUGUGAAGAGCUUCUCCCAAAUAUUUUAGUCCUUCUGCAGAGGAGCUUCCAGGAUUGUGAUGAUGAAGUGAGAGCAACCUACUAUUUAAAUAUCCUAAAUCAGAAACAAAAAGGACUCCCAAUUCAUCUUGAAUGAUGUUCCCAUCAUUGGGAAGUCCAAAGAUAAAGUUGCUGCUUCACGUCAUGAUACAUUUGCAGGUGAUG
Parasteatoda tepidariorum (common house spider) is the source of this 442-nucleotide long non-coding RNA. The record is from RefSeq and is a predicted model, not a curated record. NCBI's taxonomy places the organism in Eukaryota, Metazoa, Arthropoda, Arachnida, Araneae, Theridiidae.